GACCGCGUAGCUCAGUUGGAAGAGCAUUGGGCUGGUAUUCCAAAGGUCGUAGGUUCGAUUCCCACCAUGGCCA
This 73-nucleotide transfer RNA is filed under the name Paramuricea clavata. It matches the Rfam family "tRNA". From Rfam's summary of the family: Transfer RNA (tRNA) molecules are approximately 80 nucleotides in length. The record is from Rfam by way of RNAcentral. Lineage: Eukaryota; Metazoa; Cnidaria; Anthozoa; Malacalcyonacea; Plexauridae.